GGAAGUGUCUUUCAAUUACUUCCUGCCUCUUCAUUUCCCAUCUGUUGCCUUUUCAAAAUUGAAUGAGGAGCAAGAGUCAAGGCAGCUGCCACUGUUGCUGCUGCCAGAACUCUCAGGAAAACAACAUUCUGUAUACAUUAGCCCUUUUCCGGACCUCUGGACCAGUCCGGCGGUUUGGCCAGUUUGACCAGUGGGGAGGUGACCUUUAAGCAGGAGGAAGUAGAGGGAUCUGAAAUUGGCUGUACUGAACUGGCAAGAGGAAUGCACACAGAUAUUUCCUUCGUUUCUUCUCUCCUUCACAUGUAUAUUAGUGAAAUGUCCUUUUCAGGAGAUCUAUAGGAGAAAUCUAAAAAUAUUUUCUUAUCCUGGGCAGGAGAUACAUGAAGACCUGGAAGAACAGACUUUAUCAGACUAUGAAUUAUGGCAACUGUUCAUUAAAUCUGUUGGUGAUCCAA
Long non-coding RNA from Hemicordylus capensis (graceful crag lizard), 455 nucleotides. RefSeq lists it as uncharacterized. Lineage: Eukaryota; Metazoa; Chordata; Lepidosauria; Squamata; Cordylidae. The record is from RefSeq and is a predicted model, not a curated record. The transcript is spliced from 3 exons.